RNAcentral lists this ribosomal RNA (886 nucleotides) under uncultured archaeon. Its description in RNAcentral is "bacterial SSU rRNA". It matches the Rfam family "Archaeal small subunit ribosomal RNA", at positions 29 to 922 of the family's 1478-position model. The record is from RNAcentral.
GCACCUGGGGAUGAUCUAAGCAUGCGAGUCAUUGUAGUAAUACAAGGCAGACGGCUCAGUAACGCGUAGUCAAUCUACCCUAUGGACGAGGAUAACCUCGGGAAACUGAGAAUAAUACUCGAUAGAACACUAUGCCUGGAAUGGUUUGUGUUUGAAAUGAUUUAUCGCUGUAGGAUGGGACUGCGGCCUAUCAGUUUGUUGGUGAGGUAAUGGCCCACCAAGACUAUUACAGGUACGGGCUCUGAGAGGAGUGGCCCGGAGAUGGGUACUGAGACACGGACCCAGGCCCUAUGGGGCGCAGCAGGCGAGAAAACUUUGCAAUGUGCGAAGGCACGACAAGGUUAAUCCGAGUGGUUUCUGCUAAAGAAACCUUUUGUUAGUCCUAGAAACACUGAUGAAUAAGGGGUGGGCAAGUUCUGGUGUCAGCCGCCGCGGUAAAACCAGCACCUCAAGUGGUCAGGAUGAUUAUUGGGCCUAAAGCAUCCGUAGCCGGCUAUGUAAGUUUUCGGUUAAAUCUGUGCGCUUAACGUACAGGCUGCCGGGAAUACUGCAUAGCUAGGAAGUGGGAGAGGUAGACGGUACUCGGUAGGAAGGGGUAAAAUCCUUUGAUCUAUUGAUGACCACCUGUGGCGAAGGCGGUCUACCAGAACACGUUCGACGGUGAGGGAUGAAAGCUGGGGGAGCAAACCGGAUUAGAUACCCGGGUAGUCCCAGCUGUAAACUAUGCAAACUCAGUGAUGCAUUGGCUUGUGGCCAAUGCAGUGCUGCAGGGAAGCCGUUAAGUUUGCCGCCUGGGAAGUACGUACGCAAGUAUGAAACUUAAAGGAAUUGGCGGGGGAGCACCACAAGGGGUGAAGCCUGCGGUUCAAUUGGAUUCAACGCCGGG